This 423-nucleotide ribosomal RNA is filed under the name uncultured archaeon. RNAcentral describes it as "bacterial SSU rRNA". It matches the Rfam family "Archaeal small subunit ribosomal RNA", at positions 325 to 747 of the family's 1478-position model. The record is from RNAcentral.
ACGGGGCGCAGCAGGCGCGAAACCUUUACACUGCACGCCAGUGCGAUAAGGGGAUCCCGAGUGCACAGGCAUAGAGCCUGUGCUUUUCUGAACCGUAGGGAGGUUCAGGAACAAGAGCUGGGCAAGACCGGUGCCAGCCGCCGCGGUAAUACCGGCAGCUCGAGUGAUGGCCGAUCUUAUUGGGCCUAAAGCGUCCGUAGCUGGCCUUGCAAGUCCGUCGGGAAAUCCACCCGCUCAACGGGUGGGCGUCCGGCGGAAACUGUGAGGCUUGGGACCGGGAGGCUUGAAGGGUACGUCCGGGGUAGGAGUGAAAUCCCGUAAUCCUGGACGGACCGCCGAUGGGGAAACCACUUCAAGAGAACGGAUCCGACAGUGAGGGACGAAAGCUAGGGUCUCGAACCGGAUUAGAUACCCCUGUAGUCC